AUGAUGAGCGACAUCGUUAGCAGCUGGAAGCUGGAGCAGUUUGUGCUCCAGAAGUGUCUCCCCCCAAUCUGGUCACCAGGGUCUUUCCAGGGCCCAGAUGCUUACCAGCAGCUGUGCCAGCAGUGGGAGAGCUGGUCAGAGGAGAACAAAAAGCCCAAACCCACUAACAAGUGUAAGAAGCGAGCGGCUUUGCAGGGUUUGCUGAUGGUAGGCAGGGAGUUGUCCAGAUUGCUGAAGGAGGCUCUUGACAAUGUGCAGACCUUGGAGCAGGCCAAGGAGGAGCUCAAAAUCCAGGUGGACAACCUGCGGGCAGAGGUGCAGGGUUUGUGUGGGGACUCUCUGCGGAGCGCGGUGGAGAUUAGCCGACUGGAAAACAAGCUGGGCUAUGAGAAACUGAAAACGGAGGAGUUGAAGAAGGAGGUUGGCAAGUGGAUUGGGGAGACCCACGAUGCCCAGAGUGCAGUGCGGGCGGUCCUGCAGGACGUCCAGCGGGACCGGGGCACUGGCCCUGAUCACAAGGUAUGCCAUGCCAAGAUCCAGGAGCUGGAGGCAGAGCUGGGGGUGUCAAGGGGCAUUGUGGCUGCCAUUAAGGGCAAGAGGACCAUGAUCGGGAAUGGUGAGGGGGAGGACUCCCUGGACCUGCACCCACCCCACUAUGAUUAUGAGGAUGAUGUGUGGGGUGCUAAUGGCCCCACCAGGCCGUCCCCCUAUGCUCCUCUGCGGGAGGAGGUGUGCCAGCUGCAAGUAGGGGAGGUAGAGGCUUCCAGAGAUAAAAAGGUCCCACACGAUGAGCCAGUCAGCCAUGUCCCACUCCAGCCCAUAGACACCAACAAGGCUGUGCUCUGGUUUACCCCUGAGCAGCUUAAGACAGUGGGGAAGAUGCUGGGGCCACUGACAAAGGAGACAGCAAUUAACUGGCUGUCCAGGAUCCAGCGUCUGCCCAAGUGCCAGAAUGGCAACUUUGUGAGUGACCUGAUAGACAUUGUGAGAAAGAGCAUGAAACCAGAUGAUUUUGCUUCACUGCCGGGGGAUGUGCAGAUGGGCAAUGUCCAGGAUAUUGGGGAUGUCCUGCUGGCUGUGCUGAAGGUGUUCUUCCCAGAGGUCAACCCUUUAGUGCUCUUCCAUCAGGAGAAGCAAAACCCUGAGGAGAGGCCCGAUGCCUAUGUUAACCGUAAAAAGAUGCUCUACCAGAUGGCUGGGCUGCCUGGCUCAAAGGACUCCCCCCUCAAUUUUGACAGGCCUGAAUUCAAGGAGCCACUGGUGGUAGGGCUGACACCCCCACUGCGGGUGAUUGCUGGUGGGGAUGCAGCCAAAAAGCCUCUAUCAGAGCUGGAGCAGAUCCUGAACCAGAAUUUUGAGCUGCAAAAGCAGGCAUUCCCAGGGUACAUGUUGGGGGGGAAGAAAGGGAAAACCAUGGCCAUGUCUUUCCAAAAUGGAGGGAUGAGAAAAAUGCAAGGAGACAACCGAAAAGAUCCUGAUGGCAAGGGGGGGCUGGGGAAGGAGAACCAGCAAGGGAUGAGGUUUCAGAAGUCUAACUCUUGGCGGGCUGAGCUGAGGAAGCGCUUGAUAAAGUACGAGAAACAGGAGGACAUUGAUGGCUUGCCGGAUGCGGAGCUCUUCCAAAAACUGGCCCUGCAUGAGGCCAAAAAGCACAGCAGCUCCCACCCAAUUGACCCAGGGUCUAAGGCUCAGCAAUAG
Molecule: long non-coding RNA, 1698 nt
Organism: Cyanistes caeruleus (blue tit)
Lineage: Eukaryota; Metazoa; Chordata; Aves; Passeriformes; Paridae
Source: Ensembl